CGAACGAGAGCUUGCUCUUGUUUGGUCAGCGGCGGACGGGUGAGUAACACGUGGGCAACCUGCCCGCAAGACCGGGAUAACUCCGGGAAACCGGAGCUAAUACCGGAUAACACCAAAGACCGCAUGGUCUUUGGUUGAAAGGCGGCUUCGGCUGCCACUUGCGGAUGGGCCCGCGGCGCAUUAGCUAGUUGGUGAGGUAACGGCUCACCAAGGCGACGAUGCGUAGCCGGCCUGAGAGGGUGACCGGCCACACUGGGACUGAGACACGGCCCAGACUCCUACGGGAGGCAGCAGUAGGGAAUCUUCCGCAAUGGACGAAAGUCUGACGGAGCGACGCCGCGUGAGCGAAGAAGGCCUUCGGGUCGUAAAGCUCUGUUGUGAGGGACGAAGGAGCGCCGUUUGAAUAAGGCGGCGCGGUGACGGUACCUCACGAGAAAGCCCCGGCUAACUACGUGCCAGCAGCCGCGGUAAUACGUGAGGGGGCGA
Molecule: ribosomal RNA, 486 nt
Filed under: Geobacillus thermodenitrificans
Lineage: Bacteria; Bacillati; Bacillota; Bacilli; Caryophanales; Anoxybacillaceae
Description: bacterial SSU rRNA
Rfam family: Bacterial small subunit ribosomal RNA
Source: RNAcentral